Molecule: ribosomal RNA, 324 nt
Filed under: uncultured eukaryote
Lineage: Eukaryota
Description: partial 18S ribosomal RNA
Rfam family: Eukaryotic small subunit ribosomal RNA
Source: RNAcentral
CCCUUAGAUGUCCUGGGCUGCACGCGCGCUACACUGACGCAUUCAACGAGUAUUUCCUUAUUCGGCAGAAUUGGGUACUCUUCUAAACGUGUGUCGUGAUGGGGAUAGAUUAUUGCAAUUAUUAAUCUUCAACGAGGAAUUCCUAGUAAGUGCAAGUCAUCAGCUUGCGCUGAUUACGUCCCUGCCCUUUGUACACACCGCCCGUCGCUCCUACCGAUUGAAUGUUCCGGUGAAUAAUUCGGACUGUGGCAGUAGGGCUUGUGCCACUACUUCUAUGGGAAGUCUAGUGAACCUAAACAUUUAGAGGAAGGAGAAGUCGUAACA